This 443-nucleotide ribosomal RNA is filed under the name uncultured bacterium. Its description in RNAcentral is "partial 16S ribosomal RNA". It matches the Rfam family "Bacterial small subunit ribosomal RNA", at positions 338 to 795 of the family's 1533-position model. The record is from RNAcentral.
CCUACGGGUGGCAGCAGUGGGGGAUAUUGGACAAUGGGGGAAACCCUGAUCCAGCGACGCCGCGUGGGUGAAGAAGUAUUUCGGUAUGUAAAGCUCUGUCAGCAGGGAAGAAAGAAAUGACGGUACCUGAGUAAGAAGCCCCGGCUAACUACGUGCCAGCAGCCGCGGUAAUACGUAGGGGGCAAGCGUGAUCCGGAAUUACUGGGUGUAAAGGGAGCGUAGACGGUAAUGCAAGUCUGGAGUGAAAGGCGGGGGCUCAACCGGCGUACUGCUUUGGAAACUGGGUAACUGGAGUGCAGGAGAGGCAGGUGGAAUUCCUAGUGUAGCGGUGAAAUGCGUAGAUAUUAGGAGGAACACCAGUGGCGAAGGCGGCCUGCUGGACUGUAACUGACGUUGAGGCUCGAAAGCGUGGGGAGCAAACAGGAUUAGAUACCCUAGUAGUC